Molecule: ribosomal RNA, 525 nt
Filed under: uncultured bacterium
Lineage: Bacteria
Description: bacterial SSU rRNA
Rfam family: Bacterial small subunit ribosomal RNA
Source: RNAcentral
AAUAGAUACCCGGGUAGUCCACGCCGUAAACGAUGGAUACUAGCUGUUCGUCCGCCUCGGCGGAUGAGUGGCUAAGCGAAAGUGAUAAGUAUCCCACCUGGGGAGUACGAACGCAAGUUUGAAACUCAAAGGAAUUGACGGGGGCCCGCACAAGCGGUGGAGCAUGUGGUUUAAUUCGAUGAUACGCGAGGAACCUUACCAAGGCUUAAAUGUAGAUUGACAGGACUGGAAACAGUUUUUUCUUCGGACAAUUUACAAGGUGCUGCAUGGUUGUCGUCAGCUCGUGCCGUGAGGUGUCAGGUUAAGUCCUAUAACGAGCGCAACCCCUGUUGUUAGUUGCCAGCGAGUGAUGUCGGGAACUCUAACAAGACUGCCAGUGUAAACUGUGAGGAAGGUGGGGAUGACGUCAAAUCAUCACGGCCCUUACGCCUUGGGCUACACACGUGCUACAAUGGCCGGUACAGAGAGCAGCCACUGCGCGAGCAGGAGCGAAUCUAUAAAACCGGUCACAGUUCGGAUCGGAGU